RNAcentral lists this ribosomal RNA (518 nucleotides) under Heterobilharzia americana. RNAcentral describes it as "28S rRNA". Lineage: Eukaryota; Metazoa; Platyhelminthes; Trematoda; Strigeidida; Schistosomatidae. The record is from RNAcentral.
CGGGUGGAGUUGAACUGCAAGCCCUGGGAAUUCAGCUGAUGAGUAUGAUUUGCGCUUGGGCAUACUGGCCGCCUUUCAGUGUCCGUCUAACAGCGGGUAUCCGCCUUUUUGGUGGGUAUGUGUGGUGCGCUUAUCACGUGCUGCGUGCAUUGGAAGGUGUGUGGGUCUGCUUGUCAGUGCACUUUCUCAGGGUGUUCACCACGACCGGCGCUGCCAUCUAUCUGCUGUGGCCAAACUGAUCAGGUCUGAUUAUCGUCGGGCUUGGUUGGGUCGGCAGGUGACUCACUUGUCCAUUCACUGGGCUAUGAGUGUUACUAGCCGGCUGUGGCGGAUGUGUGUGGUGCGUCGGAGUUGGCGGCUAUGCAUGCGUGCUCUGUCCUUCGGGCGAGGUUUGAGUCUGGUCGGCCUGUUGCUAGCUUCGGCUGGUCGGUUGAUGGCUUGGUCUUGUUCCGUUGGCGGUUGCGUGUGUUUUAGUUUGGGCCGAUAGUCUGUGGUGUAGUGGUAGACGAUCCACCUGA